UAGGGAAUCUUCCGCAAUGGACGAAAGUCUGACGGAGCAACGCCGCGUGAGCGAUGAAGGCCUUCGGGUCGUAAAGCUCUGUUGUUAGGGAAGAACAAGUGCUAGUUAAAUAAGCUGGCACCUUGACGGUACCUAACCAGAAAGCCACGGCUAACUACGUGCCAGCAGCCGCGGUAAUACGUAGGUGGCAAGCGUUGUCCGGAAUUAUUGGGCGUAAAGCGCGCGCAGGCGGUUUCUUAAGUCUGAUGUGAAAGCCCCCGGCUCAACCGGGGAGGGUCAUUGGAAACUGGGAAACUUGAGUGCAGAAGAGGAAAGUGGAAUUCCAAGUGUAGCGGUGAAAUGCGUAGAGAUUUGGAGGAACACCAGUGGCGAAGGCGACUUUCUGGUCUGUAACUGACGCUGAGGCGCGAAAGCGUGGGGAGCAAACAGGAUUAGAUACCCCCGUAGUCC
This 450-nucleotide ribosomal RNA is filed under the name uncultured bacterium. RNAcentral's name for it is "bacterial SSU rRNA". It matches the Rfam family "Bacterial small subunit ribosomal RNA", at positions 355 to 796 of the family's 1533-position model. The record is from RNAcentral.